UUUCUUUCUUUUCUGUAGCCAGAAAAUUGUGGUGAGGCUGGAAAAUGGAGCCAGGGAAGAGAAUCUACCUGGCUUUGGCCUUUGCUGUCUAAUCUCUUGCUAUCAGGUUGCUUUCUGCAAAUUCUAUUCAUGAAAUCAGUUUCUCCUUUUACUCACUGUUGAGAGGAUUUUUAGAUAUUUCAUCACAUUGCUCUUUUUACCUCUCUCCUUCUCCUUUGUUACCUGCAUUGACUACUUACGAUGAAAUUGAUACAAUCUAAAGUUGAAUCUUGAAUAAUUGAUUAUGAGUUCUGGCUUGUCUUUACUUUUUUUUUUUUUAAAGAAGAGAGGUACAAAUAAAGGCCUAGUAGUUCUUAAGACAUGCAACCACAAUAACCUCAUAAGUGGGUUUAGUAUUAGGCUAGACACACCAGCUGAAAGCCUCAAAUCCAAACUGUUCAGUUGAUUAUCACAUUAGGUGACACGCUGGAUUGUUUAAAGUUCUAAAAGCUAGGUUAGUAUUAUUGUGCUAACAUCAAUGCUAAACAAAGCCUAAAUAACACCGAUGAGUCAAGUCUUUAGGUGAUAAUGUUCAUAAAGAUAGCCAAUCUCCUUUCUUUUACUUGUUGAAAUCCAGCUUUAGGGUGUGUAAACUCAAAAAUCUUAAGAGUCUAUUAAAGUCUUUCCUGCUAAAAUUCCUUUUUUGGCUUGUAUUACUUGGAAGGCAUAUAUUCAUUACUAGUUGCACAAAUGAAGCCAAUGCAUUAAUUCUUUUGUAAGAAACCUUCAUUAAACAAGAGAGCAUUGCAGCAGACAUAAUAACAAUACAGUCCAGCUGUAACAGAGAGUGCAUGACAGCAAUCAUAGAUCACUAAAGCACAACUGACGGCACGAAAGCCAGUCGAAAACAAAGUCAAGACAGCUGACAAGAAAGCCAAUUGAGACCAAAGAUCAAACAUCCAAACCCCAGAACAAAAGCGUGAUGACCCAAGGAUCACGGUCAACACCUUCACCAAUGACAGCAAGGAGUAGGAAAUAAACCCAAGGUAAUUGGGGGGGCUGUAAAACCAUUGAAUCCUGAGUCAUUCAUGGCCCUUGCUCUUGCAGAUGAUACAACUGUGUUUUGUGGAAAAAAUACGGGGGAACAACAACAAUAAAUGCAUUAAAUUUGAACUGGCCUUCUCUUUGUACUCUUCUCCUUGUCUGCUUUGCUUUCUCAGACUCUUCUAGCCUAGAUUAUGCUAUUCAGAUUUAGAAGUUAAGUACAGGUAUAAUUUUUUCUUUUCAUUUUUUAUUAUUCAAAGCAUCAUAUUUGAUAUUCAUGUGCGUGUUUUGGACCCAUAAGCCAAAAUUUCCUUCUCCAUUGUUUUACUUUUUUCAAAGCCGGUCCUGUAAAACGUACAUCUUUGGCUUGUUGCAAUGCAGCUUAUGUUACUCUGAUCAAUACAAAUGUAACGAUUAUUCGUUGUCAG
Molecule: long non-coding RNA, 1451 nt
Filed under: Gossypium barbadense (sea-island cotton)
Lineage: Eukaryota; Viridiplantae; Streptophyta; Magnoliopsida; Malvales; Malvaceae
Description: long non-coding RNA (GBAR_LNC015344)
Source: RNAcentral